Molecule: ribosomal RNA, 449 nt
Filed under: uncultured bacterium
Lineage: Bacteria
Description: partial 16S ribosomal RNA
Rfam family: Bacterial small subunit ribosomal RNA
Source: RNAcentral
AACGAACGCUGGCGGCAUGCCUAACACAUGCAAGUCGAACGAGAUCUUCGGGUCUAGUGGCGCACGGGUGCGUAACGCGUGGGAAUCUGCCCUUUGGUUCGGAAUAACAGUUGGAAACGACUGCUAAUACCGGAUGAUGACGAAAGUCCAAAGAUUUAUCGCCAGAGGAUGAGCCCGCGUAGGAUUAGCUAGUUGGUGUGGUAAAGGCGCACCAAGGUGACGAUCCUUAGCUGGUCUGAGAGGAUGAUCAGCCACACUGGGACUGAGACACGGCCCAGACUCCUACGGGAGGCAGCAGUGGGGAAUAUUGGACGAUGGGCGAAAGCCUGAUCCAGCAAUGCCGCGUGAGUGAUGAAGGCCUUAGGGUUGUAAAGCUCUUUUGCCCGGGAUGAUAAUGACAGUACCGGGAGAAUAAGCUCCGGCUAACUCCGUGCCAGCCGCCGCAGUAA